CUGAGCGCGCGAUGCAAGACGCGUUUUGAUUGGUUUGAAUGAUCAAAAUUGUCCUAAAACGAAUACGAGACGACGGACGCAAGAGGACGCGAAUAAAGCCUUUCAUAGCUGGAAAAAAAACAUACACUUGAAAACGCUUGAAAACAGACACCGAAGUUGUUUCUGCCUGACAGUGAUCCUGACACGAACCAAGGCGUCUCCUGUGCUGAUGGUAAACAAUGGUAAUGGAUCCAGCACAUGGUUUUGGACACACUCCUGCAUCCCUUCAUCACAGAUUGAGCGAUGAACCCCUGACUGUAAGUGCAUUACAGACCUGACUCUCCGGCUACAGUCCUGCCUUUAAAGAUACUGCAUUUAGCCCGUUCAGAAGGGUUUUUCUUUCCUUCCUAAACACAGAGCUGAAUGUCGCUCAUUUAUUUCAGCCGCUCUCCUAUGAGGAAACAUCGGAACAUGCCAAUGAGCAAUGUGAUUAGGCUCAGUCGAACCUGAGAGAUUGUUAUUUUUGCAUCAGUGCCAGGGUAUAAAAGCACACCUUGUACAUUAUGUGAUACGCUCGAGCUCAGCGUCUCUGACAAGGGGGGAAAAAAUAUAGUGCUGUGUUGGUUACGGUGUGUUAUAGCCACUGUUCCUUUUUAAUGAUUUGGACUUUCCCCCGCCGCCGGGACCCAGAACUCUGCGCAAUAUAUCUAAAUUCAUAUUAUGUCCAUUUUGUUUUCACACAUUGUCUUUAUUGUGCGCUGUAAGUUUUGUGGCGUGUACUCACAUUUAAGGUGUUUGCUGAUUUAUUCUGCUAUCUUUUAGUUUGAUAAUUAAUCACACUUUCCAAGGUGUUCCAUUUAGCCGCCACGCACGUUUUAAGAGGUGAUAUAUUCUCGUACGUCUUAAAAAAUCCAUCGUUCAUGCAAAGUACUAGUUAAAAAAUGUAAUGCACCAUCAUUACUCAUCUUAUGUCUCAGUGAAUUGCUUUUUUGAUGAGAAAAAAUAAAGCUAGAGAAUGUGCAAGCAAGAUGAAUCAAAAACACAUGAAUGAAUCAACAAUUUAUUACAAUCACAAUUCGGGGGGCUGAUUGCAAUCAGAUGAUGUCGUAUACGUUUCAGUUGAUUGCUUUAUAUGUAUCAUUCCAGUUCCACCUCAUCCCAGUCUCACGUUUAGAACCUGUAGAGCCUAUCAUGAGGUUUAGCAUAUAUUAUUAGUUAUAGUAAUCGUUUUGCAUUACCGUAACUCUACUGACAAAUCACUGCUUGAGAGAGAAGUCUGUGGAUGUUCUGCAUUCAAACUCGCAUGAAUCCUGAAUAAAUAUCCUAUUAAAUUAAUCUUCAAGUCUGGAAAGUAAAUAAACGGAGGCACCAAACUGCCACCUGUCACCUUCCUCCUUUA
This is a long non-coding RNA of Puntigrus tetrazona (Sumatra barb), 1378 nucleotides long. RefSeq lists it as uncharacterized. The transcript is spliced from 3 exons. NCBI's taxonomy places the organism in Eukaryota, Metazoa, Chordata, Actinopteri, Cypriniformes, Cyprinidae. The record is from RefSeq and is a predicted model, not a curated record.